CUACGGGUUGCUCCAGUGGGGAAUCUUAGACAAUGGGGGAAACCCUGAUCUAGCCAUGCCGCGUGAGCGACGACGGCCCUAGGGUUGUAAAGCUCUUUCAGCAGGGAAGAUAAUGACGGUACCUGCAGAAGAAGUCCCGGCUAACUCCGUGCCAGCAGCCGCGGUAAUACGGAGGGGACUAGCGUUGUUCGGAAUUACUGGGCGUAAAGCGCGCGUAGGCGGAUUGUUAAGUCGGGGGUGAAAUCCCGGGGCUCAACCCCGGAACUGCCCUCGAUACUGGCAGUCUUGAGUUCGAGAGAGGUGAGUGGAAUUCCGAGUGUAGAGGUGAAAUUCAUAGAUAUUCGGAGGAACACCAGUGGCGAAGGCGGCUCACUGGCUCGAUACUGACGCUGAGGUGCGAAAGCGUGGGGAGCAAACAGGAUUAGAUACCCUAGUAGUC
This 439-nucleotide ribosomal RNA is filed under the name uncultured bacterium. RNAcentral's name for it is "partial 16S ribosomal RNA". It matches the Rfam family "Bacterial small subunit ribosomal RNA", at positions 339 to 795 of the family's 1533-position model. The record is from RNAcentral.